UAAGUUUCAAAUUAUACCAACUAAUGAAAUUCCAUAUCCUCCAAAUUGUACAAAGCAAAUUUGAAUUGAUAGAGGAUCUAACUUUCUAAUAACAUGCAAAUAAACCAGAAAGACAAAGUAAUAACAUGAUCAGAAAAAUUAAGACACAAUAUGCAAUAUAUAUUAUGACAUGAAGGGUACAAUACAAGAAAUUAGAGUUUGAGGGACAAAUCAAGUUUCUGCAACUCCUCUUGUUUAGUCUUUAAACAUGUAGUAGUAACACUAUUUCCCAGCCAGUAACCUCCAAUUAAUCCAUCUUGCACCU
This 304-nucleotide long non-coding RNA is filed under the name Trifolium pratense (red clover). Its description in RNAcentral is "long non-coding RNA (TPRA_LNC007844)". The record is from RNAcentral. Lineage: Eukaryota; Viridiplantae; Streptophyta; Magnoliopsida; Fabales; Fabaceae.